UACCUUCCCUCCGACCUAGCCAU
This 23-nucleotide unclassified non-coding RNA is filed under the name Mus musculus (house mouse). Its description in RNAcentral is "oocyte_clustered_small_RNA13712". The record is from RNAcentral. Lineage: Eukaryota; Metazoa; Chordata; Mammalia; Rodentia; Muridae.